AUUAGCUUGUUGGUGAGGUAAUGGCUUACCAAGGCAAUGAUCAGUAGCUGGUCUGAGAGGAUGAUCAGCCACACUGGGACUGAGACACGGCCCAGACUCCUACGGGAGGCAGCAGUGAGGAAUUUUCCGCAAUGGGCGAAAGCCUGACGGAGCAAUACCGCGUGAAGGAUGAAGGCCUAUGGGUUGUAAACUUCUUUUCUUAGAGAAGAAUUUUGACGGUAUCUAAGGAAUAAGCAUCGGCUAACUCUGUGCCAGCAGCCGCGGUAAUACAGAGGAUGCAAGCGUUAUCCGGAAUGAUUGGGCGUAAAGCGUCUGUAGGUGGUUUACCAAGUCUUCUGUCAAAGAUCAGGGCUUAACCCUGGGCAGGCAGGAGAAACUAAUAGACUAGAGUUCGGUAGAGGCAGAGGGAAUUCCCGGUGGAGCGGUGAAAUGCGUAGAGAUCGGGAGGAACACCAAGGGCGAAAGCACUCUGCUGGGCCGCGACUGACACUGAGAGACGAAAGCGAGGGGAGCAAAUGGGAUUAGAUACCCCAGUAGUCCUCGCCC
This 546-nucleotide ribosomal RNA is filed under the name uncultured bacterium. RNAcentral describes it as "bacterial SSU rRNA". It matches the Rfam family "Bacterial small subunit ribosomal RNA", at positions 240 to 802 of the family's 1533-position model. The record is from RNAcentral.